Molecule: long non-coding RNA, 356 nt
Filed under: Ananas comosus (pineapple)
Lineage: Eukaryota; Viridiplantae; Streptophyta; Magnoliopsida; Poales; Bromeliaceae
Description: long non-coding RNA (ACOM_LNC010179)
Source: RNAcentral
GUAGUGUAGCGGGGUGAGCUUGACACAUGGACUAGGAUAGCAUGAGGAUUGGGUCUUGUGACAUAGAAUCCUAUAGCGGCAUAAAGAGCUGAACUUGGACAUAGCCUAGUAGAGUGGCAUUGAACUAGUGUGGUAGAAGCACUAUGACAUAAAACAAGUGGCAUGUAGAAUAAUUGAGACAUUUACUACAAUGACUAAACAAGUGACAUUGAGUCUAGUGUAAUAAACUUAACAUGAACUUAGGGAUAGUAGAAGUCCCAACAUUGAUUAUAUAUCAUGAUUGUGCAGCAGAGGCACAUUGACCCUAGUAGACAGGGUAUCCUCUUGUGAGGAUUGGAUCAUACUCACUAGUCUAU